Molecule: ribosomal RNA, 253 nt
Filed under: uncultured bacterium
Lineage: Bacteria
Description: partial 16S ribosomal RNA
Rfam family: Bacterial small subunit ribosomal RNA
Source: RNAcentral
UACGUAGGGGGCCAGCGUUGUCCGGAUUCAUUGGGCGUAAAGCGCGCGCAGGCGGCCCGCCGCGCCGACCGUGAAAGCCCCCGGCUCAACCGGGGGGGGCCGGGCGGGACGGGCGGGCUGGAGGCCGGUAGGGGGGAGCGGAAUUCCCGGUGUAGUGGUGGAAUGCGUAGAGAUCGGGAGGAACACCAGUGGCGAAGGCGGCUCCCUGGGCCGGGCCUGACGCUGAGGCGCGAAAGCGUGGGGAGCGAUCCGG